RNAcentral lists this ribosomal RNA (600 nucleotides) under uncultured bacterium. RNAcentral's name for it is "bacterial SSU rRNA". It matches the Rfam family "Bacterial small subunit ribosomal RNA", at positions 278 to 896 of the family's 1533-position model. The record is from RNAcentral.
GAUCGGUAGCCGGCCUGAGAGGGCACACGGCCACACUGGCACUGAAACACGGGCCAGACUCCUACGGGAGGCAGCAGUGGGGAAUCUUGCACAAUGGGGGAAACCCUGAUGCAGCGACGCCGCGUGAGUGAUGAAGCCCUUCGGGGUGUAAAGCUCUUUCGGCAGGGACGAUAAUGACGGUACCUGCAGAAGAAGCUGCGGCUAACUACGUGCCAGCAGCCGCGGUAAUACGUAGGCAGCAAGCGUUGUUCGGAAUUACUGGGCGUAAAGAGUGCGUAGGCGGUUUGGCAAGUUUGGUGUGAAAUCUCCCGGCUUAACUGGGAGGGUGCGCCGAAAACUGCCAGGCUAGAGUGUGGGAGAGGAAAGUGGAAUUCCUGGUGUAGCGGUGAAAUGCGUAGAUAUCAGGAGGAACACCUGCGGUGUAGACGGCUUUCUGGACCACUACUGACGCUGAGGCACGAAAGCGUGGGGAGCAAACAGGAUUAGAUACCCUGGUAGUCCACGCCCUAAACGAUGCAGACUUGGUGUUGGCCCUUCAUUGGGUCAGUGCCGCAGCUAACGCGGUAAGUCUGCCGACUGGGGAGUACGGUCGCAAGGCUG